This 373-nucleotide transfer-messenger RNA is filed under the name Lysobacterales bacterium. Its description in RNAcentral is "Xanthomonadales bacterium transfer-messenger RNA". It matches the Rfam family "transfer-messenger RNA". From Rfam's summary of the family: Bacterial tmRNA, also known as 10Sa RNA or SsrA, is named for its dual tRNA and mRNA-like properties. Its role is to liberate the mRNA from a stalled ribosome. To accomplish this part of the tmRNA is used as a reading frame that ends in a translation stop signal. The record is from RNAcentral. Lineage: Bacteria; Pseudomonadati; Pseudomonadota; Gammaproteobacteria; Lysobacterales.
GGGGGCGAACCGGUUUCGACGGGUCAGAAGAAGCAAUGGUGGCACGCCCAGGAUCCAAGUCCCCUGGUUAAACCGGCUUGGAAACACCAAACGCCAAUUUUGAAAUGGCGAUGGCCGCAUAAGCUUGAGCUAACGCUCGCUUAGUGCACCUCCGGAUGCAGGGCCUGCCUAGGGCGCUGUAGCCGGAUCGAUAAACUAGGCUGGUCAGACGAGGCUCCCUCGACACGUUUGACGAGAUCUACUGCGGGGUAACGCUUGAAGCGGCUGACCCUCGCCGAUUCUUGGGUGAGCACAAAAGAGGAGUCUAUGCGUGUAGAUGCUGUUGUGGGUGCUGUAUCCGGACGCGGGGUUCGAAUCCCCGCCGCCUCCAUCA